AUCUCUUUUAGAGAUGAGUGGCGAACGGGUGAGUAAUACAUAGGUAACCUGCCCCUGUGCGGGGGAUAACAGGAGGAAACUCCUGCUAAUACCGCAUAGCCAUGAGCACCGCAUGGAGCUCAUGCCAAAUAUCCUUUCGGGGAUAGCGCGGGGAUGGACCUAUGGCGCAUUAGCUGGUUGGCGGGGCAACGGCCCACCAAGGCAACGAUGCGUAGCCGGCCUGAGAGGGCGGACGGCCACAUUGGGACUGAGACACGGCCCAGACUCCUACGGGAGGCAGCAGUAGGGAAUUUUCGGCAAUGGGGGAAACCCUGACCGAGCAACGCCGCGUGAGCGAAGAAGGCCUUCGGGUCGUAAAGCUCUGUUGUAAAGGAAGAACGGCGCAUACAGGAAAUGGUAUGCGAGUGACGGUACUUUACCAGAAAGCCACGGCUAACUACGUGCCAGCAGCCGCGGUAAUACGUAGGUGGCGAGCGUUAUCCGGAAUCAUUGGGCGUAAAGAGGGAGCAGGCGGCCGCAAGGGUCUGUGGUGAAAGACCGAAGCUAAACUUCGGUAAGCCAUGGAAACCGGGCGGCUAGAGUGCGGAAGAGGAUCGUGGAAUUCCAUGUGUAGCGGUGAAAUGCGUAGAUAUAUGGAGGAACACCAGUGGCGAAGGCGACGGUCUGGGCCGCAACUGACGCUCAUUCCCGAAAGCGUGGGGAGCAAAUAGGAUUAGAUACCCUAGUAGUCCACGCCGUAAACGAUGGUCACUAAGUGUCGGGGGUCAAACCCCGGUGCUGCAGUCAACGCAAUAAGUGACCCGCCUGAG
Molecule: ribosomal RNA, 809 nt
Filed under: uncultured bacterium
Lineage: Bacteria
Description: bacterial SSU rRNA
Rfam family: Bacterial small subunit ribosomal RNA
Source: RNAcentral